CGUCGGGGCUUUCUUGACGGGGUGCGGGACUCUCCUUAGAAUUUCACACCCCAAAAUUGGCGGGGCAUUCGUGCACCUGCCUUUUUGUUUAUAUGUCGAGAGACAACAGUGGAGCUAUUAGA
RNAcentral lists this small RNA (122 nucleotides) under Atopomonas hussainii. RNAcentral's name for it is "Pseudomonas hussainii Pseudomonas rpsL leader". It matches the Rfam family "Pseudomonas rpsL leader". Lineage: Bacteria; Pseudomonadati; Pseudomonadota; Gammaproteobacteria; Pseudomonadales; Pseudomonadaceae. The record is from RNAcentral.